AUGGUUUUUUCGUGGAAGAUUGGAAUUAAUCGGCAGUCGAUUCCCACAGAGGAUGAUAGAAACCGAUACCAAACGAUAAAUUUUAAUAGUAAUUACAAUGAGUUUCCAAAAAAUUCGAAGGUCUUGGUUCUCUCUCUUCCAAGAAUUCGAGAGCUUGGUCUCCCCCUCCCAAAUAUAUCCUCUUCUAAUUUUCUGGAUGUUCAUAUCAUGGUUUUGUUUUCAUAUUUAUUCUGCCUAAGUUUCGUAAUUGUUCCUAAUAAUAAUAAUUGUUACUCUAGUAAUACUAAUUAA
Vicia faba (fava bean) is the source of this 291-nucleotide non-coding RNA. The record is from the annotation of a GenBank genome assembly. NCBI's taxonomy places the organism in Eukaryota, Viridiplantae, Streptophyta, Magnoliopsida, Fabales, Fabaceae.